GGCGGCGUGCUUAACACAUGCAAGUCGAACGACGAUAGGACUUCGGUUCUAAAGUUAGUGGCGAACGGGUGAGUAAAACGCAGAUAACCAACCCUCAGGAUAGGGACAACAAGUCGAAAGAUUUUGCUAAUACCUAGUGGAGUGGUAGGGUCGCAUGACUCUACUAUAAAAGGCAACCUCUUAAAAAAUGUUGUCGCCAGAGGCUGGGGUCUGCGGCUGAUUAGCUGGUUGGUGAGGUAAAGGCUCACCAAGGCGACGAUCAGUAGCCGGUCUGAGAGGAUGAACGGCCACAAUGGGACUGAGAUACGGCCCAUACUCC
This 319-nucleotide ribosomal RNA is filed under the name uncultured Veillonellaceae bacterium. RNAcentral describes it as "bacterial SSU rRNA". It matches the Rfam family "Bacterial small subunit ribosomal RNA", at positions 38 to 339 of the family's 1533-position model. Lineage: Bacteria; Bacillati; Bacillota; Negativicutes; Veillonellales; Veillonellaceae. The record is from RNAcentral.